UACAGAGGUCCCGAGCGUUGUUCGGAUUUACUGGGCGUAAAGGGUGUGUAGGCGGUCAAGCUAGUCCGACGUUAAAUAUCUGGGCUCAACCCAGAUACCGCGUUGGAUACUUCUUGGCUAGAGAGGCAUAGGGGGAACCGGAAUUCUCGGUGUAGCAGUGAAAUGCGUAGAUAUGCGGAGGAACACCGAUGGCGAAGGCAAUCCCCUGGGCCUGCACUGACGCUCAUGCACGAAAGCGUGGGGAGCAAACAGG
Molecule: ribosomal RNA, 253 nt
Filed under: uncultured bacterium
Lineage: Bacteria
Description: partial 16S ribosomal RNA
Rfam family: Bacterial small subunit ribosomal RNA
Source: RNAcentral